Molecule: ribosomal RNA, 253 nt
Filed under: uncultured prokaryote
Description: partial 16S ribosomal RNA
Rfam family: Bacterial small subunit ribosomal RNA
Source: RNAcentral
ACGGGGGGGGCAAGCGUUGUUCGGAAUUACUGGGCGUAAAGGGCUCGUAGGUGGCCAACUAAGUCAGACGUGAAAUCCCUCGGCUUAACCGGGGAACUGCCUUUGAUACUGCAAAUCUCGAGUCCGGAAGAGGUGAGUGGAAUUCCUAGUGUAGAGGUGAAAUUCGUAGAUAUUAGGAAGAACACCAGUGGCGAAGGCGGCUCACUGGUCCGGUACUGACGCUGAGGUGCGAAAGCGUGGGGAGCAAACAGGA